GAUUUGGGCAAGCGGCAUGUUGGCAGUGUGGUUAGCUGGUUGUGUGGAAAAAAUUAUAUUCACGACCGCUAUCGGCACUGCAAUUAUGACGUUUGCAAAUUGACAACGAAU
This 111-nucleotide microRNA precursor is filed under the name Polistes canadensis. RNAcentral describes it as "microRNA pca-mir-34 precursor". Its record names the gene pca-mir-34. The stretch from base 14 to 90 matches the Rfam family "mir-34 microRNA precursor family". From Rfam's summary of the family: Human mir-34a was discovered computationally and later experimentally verified. The mature sequence is excised from the 5' arm of the hairpin. Lineage: Eukaryota; Metazoa; Arthropoda; Insecta; Hymenoptera; Vespidae. The record is from miRBase by way of RNAcentral.